This 555-nucleotide ribosomal RNA is filed under the name Entrophospora etunicata. Its description in RNAcentral is "SSU rRNA". It matches the Rfam family "Eukaryotic small subunit ribosomal RNA", at positions 548 to 1098 of the family's 1831-position model. The record is from RNAcentral. Lineage: Eukaryota; Fungi; Glomeromycota; Glomeromycetes; Entrophosporales; Entrophosporaceae.
UUGGAGGGCAAGUCUGGUGCCAGCAGCCGCGGUAAUUCCAGCUCCAAUAGCGUAUAUUAAAGUUGUUGCAGUUAAAAAGCUCGUAGUUGAAUUUCGGGAUUGACACAUCGGUCGUGCCUUAAGGGGUAUGAACUGGUGUAGUCAAUUUCUCACCUUCUGGAGAACCGCGAUGCCCUUAAUUGGGUGUCACGGGGAACCAGGACCUUUACUUUGAAAAAAUUAGAGUGUUUAAAGCAGGCAUUUUGCUUGAACACAUUAGCAUGGAAUAAUAAAAUAGGACGGCAUGAUUCUAUUUUGUUGGUUUCUAGGAUCACCGUAAUGAUUAAUAGGGAUAGUUGGGGGCAUUAGUAUUCAAUUGUCAGAGGUGAAAUUCUUGGAUUUAUUGAAGACUAACUACUGCGAAAGCAUUUGCCAAGGAUGUUUUCAUUAAUCAAGAACGAAAGUUAGGGGAUCGAAGACGAUCAGAUACCGUCGUAGUCUUAACCAUAAACUAUGCCGACUAGGAAUCAGACGAUGUUAAUUUUUUAAUGACUCGUUCGGCGCCUUACGGGAAAC